CGUAGGCAGCAAGCGUUGUUCGGAAUUACUGGGCGUAAAGAGUACGUAGGUGGUUUGCCAAGUCCGAUGUGAAAUCUCCUGGCUUAACUGGGAGGGUGCGUUAGAUACUGGCAGGCUUGAGUGUGGGAGAGGAGAGCGGAAUUCCUGGUGUAGCGGUGAAAUGCGUAGAUAUCAGGAGGAACGCCUGUGGUGUAGACGGCUCUCUGGACCAUUACUGACACUGAGGUACGAAAGCGUGGGUAGCAAACAGGAUUAGAUACCCUGGUAGUCCACGCCCUAAACGAUGCAUACUUGGUGUGGGCAGUUCAGUCUGUCCGUGCCGGAGCUAACGCGUUAAGUAUGCCGCCUGGGGAGUACGGUCGCAAGGCUG
This 370-nucleotide ribosomal RNA is filed under the name uncultured organism. RNAcentral's name for it is "bacterial SSU rRNA". It matches the Rfam family "Bacterial small subunit ribosomal RNA", at positions 526 to 896 of the family's 1533-position model. The record is from RNAcentral.